CUGUAGUAUCCAUCCAGCACAGGAAUAUUCUAAGCGUGGAGAAACAAUGCGACUCAUUAACAGUGUGACUUUUCAAUUGUAAGAAUUGCUGCAUGCAGGAGUACAAAUCCUGCUGUACUCUGUGGAGGUAUAAUUGUGAAUGCAACGUGUACAGUAUCAGUAUCGGAGGAAAAGCAUACAUACAGCUAUGGCCAAGGACAGAGCUCUGCACCAGCUGAACCAUGGGCCUGAUCCAGUACGACAGUUGCUCCUCCACUCCAAUGGCAAUAAUUUCCCCAUGAUGUUGAGCACAGUCCUUGUGGUACCUUGACACCGCUAUAGGAAUCUGUGGAUGGAGGUUUCCUAUGUUGUACCAGGUAGAUGAGCUCAUUACAGCUUUAGUCAACACAACUGAAGUCAAGACACACAAGCAAUUUCAUUAACUCAGAGUGGAACAACUUACUAACUUACUGGUAAACACAUCAGUAGUCUACUGAACUGAGGCUUGAUGAAGAUGUGAGCUGUUGAUAAAGUUCCCUGAAAAUUUCACAGGCAAUGAUGGGGAAGAUGAUACCCUUAAUCAGAGCAUCAGAAUAAUCUGCAGAACGAACACAAGUUAAUACUGAAAGUAGCAAAGUUAAAGCCAAACUGUAAGUUUUUUUGACAUGUAUGAUACAGAAAAAGGAGAGAAGAAUGUCAUCAUAAUAUAUUGCAAUGAAAACAUUUUGUGAAAUUUCUCAAAUUAGCUGACAAUUUUUUUAUUAGCUGUCUUGUCA
RNAcentral lists this long non-coding RNA (755 nucleotides) under Numida meleagris (helmeted guineafowl). RNAcentral describes it as "lncRNA (ENSNMEG00000020976.1)". The record is from RNAcentral. Lineage: Eukaryota; Metazoa; Chordata; Aves; Galliformes; Numididae.